CAAUAGCGUAUAUUAAAGUUGUUGCAGUUAAAAAGCUCGUAGUUGGAUUUCUGAUCGAGACAUCAGGUCGGGUCCGAGAGGAUCAUGUACUUUGAUUUUGUUUUGAUCAUCCUUGGGGAGAGCAUUUCUGGCAUUCAGUUGUCGGGAUUGGGAUCCUCAUCGUUUACUGUGAAAAAAUUAGAGUGUUCAAAGCAGGCCUCGGCCUCUGAAUACAUUAGCAUGGAAUAAUAAGAUAGGACUUUGGUGGUCUAUUUUGUUGGUUUGCACGCCAAAGUAAUGAUUAAUAGGGAUAGUUGGGGGCAUUCGUAUUCAAUUGUCAGAGGUGAAAUUCUUGGAUUUAUGGAAGACGAACUACUGCGAAAGCAUUUACCAAGGAUGUUUUCAUUAA
This 388-nucleotide ribosomal RNA is filed under the name uncultured eukaryote. RNAcentral's name for it is "partial 18S ribosomal RNA". It matches the Rfam family "Eukaryotic small subunit ribosomal RNA", at positions 592 to 976 of the family's 1831-position model. The record is from RNAcentral.